UGGGGGCUUAGCUCAGCUGGGAGAGUGCUUGCAUGGCAUGCAAGAGGUCAGGGGUUCGAUCCCCCUAGUCUCCAU
RNAcentral lists this transfer RNA (75 nucleotides) under Neobacillus rhizosphaerae. RNAcentral's name for it is "Neobacillus sp. JJ-3 tRNA-Ala". It matches the Rfam family "tRNA". Rfam says of the family: Transfer RNA (tRNA) molecules are approximately 80 nucleotides in length. Their secondary structure includes four short double-helical elements and three loops (D, anti-codon, and T loops). The record is from RNAcentral. Lineage: Bacteria; Bacillati; Bacillota; Bacilli; Caryophanales; Bacillaceae.